Non-coding RNA from Anas platyrhynchos (mallard), 2946 nucleotides. The record is from RefSeq and is a predicted model, not a curated record. NCBI's taxonomy places the organism in Eukaryota, Metazoa, Chordata, Aves, Anseriformes, Anatidae.
CCCUCCCUCCCUCCCUCCCUCUCAGCAGCCGGGGGUGCCGCUCCCUCAGCGCGCUGCCCGCCCGCGGCCGCCCCCCGCCAUCUUCGCCUCACGGCGCCAACAUGGCGGCGGCGGCCGGGCCCGGACAGGGGGCGCGGCGGGAGGGGGGGGUGGAGGGGGGUCGGUGCCCCCCCCCUCUCCUUCUUCACCCCCCCCCCCAAUCAGGCGCCGCGGCGCCGCGCGGCAUCAUGGGACUUGUAGGCGGGCGGGCGGGGCCUCCGCCUCAUGGCCCCGCCCCUCUCCUUAGCAACCGUUGCUAGGGCGGGAGAUUGUAAUUAAUCAUAAUCACUAUUUCAUAUACAUACAAAUAAAUUGUUCGAUUUUCCAUCCCAUAUUAACAAAUCGAAGCCUGCACGGCAUUCCUUGGUAAAAACUCCCCAUCACGGCCAGUGGUUUAUUCCUCAUCCCAGCCCCUCAGCGUGCCAUAAAGGCCGUGCCCCGUGAAAAAUGCUUCCCACACGGACAAAAAAAAAUACAAAAUAAAAUCGCGCUCAAUGUGCACAUCUACCCAAGGAAUGAGUGGGCCUCUUGAGAGGGAUAUGUGGAGAUGUGUUCGUUUUCCAGCACUGUAAAAUUGUCCAAGAAAAAAAAAAUCACAAAAAUCAAGUAGACAGAGCUUGUGGCAGAUGCUGUCUGGUUCCUUCAGGGACAGUUCUCAUGUAAAACCACAGGAAAUUAAGACAGAGUUGUUCCCUUUAAUACUAAAAGUUGGAAGCUGUCUUUCCUCUUUAUGACUUCCUACUGAAAGCAACAACGGCAACCCCACUGUCCCCUCCAUCAAAUUUAUCAUUCUUUUCUUCAGGAACAGCUACAGAAUAGCAUGAGGCCGUUGACUGUAAAAGGCAGAUUUGACAGCAAACAUCCCAGCUGAAUGCCCAGGAAAAGAGUUUGGGGGUCAAUAAAAGAGACCUGUGCUAUCACGCUGCAUGACUUUGGGCACGUCAUUCCCCAGGACCUCUGCUUAGAGAAGUUGUUGAGUUGCUGUCUGUGGAGACAGUCCAAACCCAACUGGACGUGGCUGUGGACAACCUGCUGUGGCUGACCCUGUCUGAUGCACCUUCCAAACUCAUCCCUUCUGUCACAGUGUCUUGGUGACUGUCCCCUGACAAAUGUUUUUGUGGUACCAUCCAUAGUCGUCCCCAACUUCAGUCAGUUCUUCAAGCCACCAAUAAGUCUUGUGUUUGUGGCAAUAAUAGCAUAUUGUUGAAACAUUAUUUACAUUUUUCUCCAAUCAGAUAUCCUUGAGGGACAGAGAAAGUGUAAGGGUUCCUCAUUUUUUUCAUAUCUUUUCAUAAGGCGUCGAAAUAAUAAUACUCACAGAUGAGGGUCAAAGGGGUGAGCUCUGGAGGAUGUCUCCCAUCUGACAUAAUAUGCCUCCCUGGGCACAUACGUCUGCCUGGUUAUGGCAGUGACAGAUUGAAGAAUUAUAAAUAGGUCUCGCUGAACAGAGUUUAUACUUAGAACAUUAUCAAUAAAAAUUCCUUAUGGAGUUUUAACUGUGUGCCCAACAGCUUAAGUUUAGGUGGACACCCGAGCUCUGCUGUGAGGCAAUCCUGCAGACCUAGCAGUUGCUCCAAGCAGACCACAGCCCCGUACAGGUGCCUUGAGAUGAUCCCAGGGUGAUUUAGGAGCUGCCCUGCCCAUGCCCACUGAUAGCAGGGGCAAGAGGAUAGGCACAGUGUCUGCUUCUCAGGCAGUACAGCUCCCAGCUGUCUGCUCCUGUAAGCUGAAAUUGGUGGCAACCCAGAGUGAUGUCCUUGUCCCUGCCGUGACAGCUGAGGAGAAGGCAGGGCAGACAGCAGGGGUGAGUAAUCUUGCACAGCUCACAGCUUGAGCUGCCAAAGGUUAUAUGGAAAUACCCUUCGAUCGAGCAGGGAGAGUUAGGGCACCAACAAGCACCGGCAGACUGGAUGAGGGGUCGGCCAGGCAAGGAGGCAGCAGCAGGACACAUCCACUCCAUGGGAGAUGGCUUUUUUGAAUUAUUUAGCCGGAUGAGCUCAUCUGUGGUCCAUAAAGAUAGGCACAUCCAUAGGGCAGAGCCAUAGGACAGAACGCAGAAGACACAGAGCCUAAAUCAGCGUGAUUUCGUGCUUUCUGUUUUCCUACCCCUGGCUUAGCAAUCUGCUAAAAGGAGGAUCAGGACUUCAGACAAAUUUGAAUCCACAAUUAUAAGUGCAGGCCAGAAUGCCUCUACAUUAGGCUCCACACAGUACAAACACAUAACAAAGACAGAGUUUCUGUCCUGAAAGGUUCACAGUACUGUGUUUACUCUACAGUUGACAUUUGUAUCACAUUUGUGUGAUUUUUUUUUUUUUCUCCCAGCUCUCAGCUCUGAUGACACAACACAAACGAACGGAGGACCCAGCACAGCUGGUACGCACUGGAGAUCGUUUAAGGAUGAUUGUGUGUUGGGCAAAUGAAUAAAAAGAAAAGCUGUACAAUGAUCCUCGUAGGAGUAGUGCGGGUCCGUGUACUGCACGUGACAAAAGGGAUGAAUUCCCACCAGACUUGUGGAGGCUGCGAACAGGAGCAUCUUCAGGAGAAGGAGCACGCAGCGAUGACAGAAAUGAAAUUUCUCCCAAGGCAAGAAUAUCCAUGGCUUCUCGUUUCCCUGCAGGUUUUUCAAGCAGCCUGAGAAGGUGAAAGGCUCCCGAGACAAAGGGUUUAAUUCUCCGCAGUUUGGCCAUGGGACAGAUCAGGAUUCCUUCCCUCUCUGGCAGCCACAGAAGCAAGAUACCCAGGGCAGCAAGGAGCACACAGGGCUACUCAGCAGGAUAUUUUUAAUACCUUUGUAUAAACAUGUGGACUUUUUUUUAACUCUUGCCAAGCAAAAUUCACAUUUAACUCGGUGCCUCUGUAAAAAACUCAGAUUUUGUGUUUGCAAAUAUAUUUUUUUUCCUUGCUAAA